UUUGUUUGUUUACUUCUUACAGAUGCAUCUGAAAAAAAAAAGAGUUCUUUCUUAUACCUAGGAUUUUUAUUCUGGAUUACCAUUAUACAAGCAAAAAAUUAACCUGAUAUGUAAAAAUGUAGAUAUGUAAUUUGUUCAGGUCAAAGAUCACUUUGUAUAUUCAUGACACACUGUCUGUUCUAUUGCAUGUGGCCUAUUUUCCCUUCUUACUGUUCACUUUCUCCAACUGAAAAUAAGCCAGUUAUGACUUGAUUGCCAAAGGAGGAAAAAAUGUGUUUUCUAUUGCAUGUGGCCUAUUUUCCCUUCUUACUGUUCACUUUCUCCAACUGAAAAUAAGCCAGUUAUGACUUGAUUGCCAAAGGAGGAAAAAAUGUGUUUUCUACCUUAAUUAGCGGCAAGGCAAGAUUGCAGUUUGGAACUUCUCAUGUUGUAUUUUGAGGUAAGUCCACACACAUCCAGGCUAUAUCAAUUAGGGAUAACACAUCUUGAAAGUCAAAAAGAAGAAACUUUCCUAGUCAAAUGCAUGAAAGCUAAGAACUGAAUGUUAAAUAGUAGCCUUUAAGAAUACCAGCAUACUAUGAUUGUGAAAACACGAGAAGAAUUAGAAUAAAAUGCCUAUUACAAUGCAGUAACCAUACACAUCAUUAUACCAGUCAUCAUGUGACUAUUUAAUCUAUAUAAACUGCACAUAUGAGCAUGUAGACACGUGAAAGUAUCCUAGGAUUUCAUCAUGUGGCCAUAUGCAGUAAAGUUAUCUGAGAGGAAUCGUGAUGGUGGCGAAAAAAGGCAACAUGCAGAGGAAGAACAUUAGGUCAAGGCGAAAAGAAGAGACUAUUGGACAGAAGCCGUAAUAUGUGAAAGUCACCAGCUAUGAAGAAAAAGAGGAAUAACAGGACAGCAUCAGGAAGAUGUGUGGGAGGAUGAGAUUUGUAAAUGGAAAAGUAUGGAUUGGAAGUGCCCAUAAUUUAGACAAUGGAUGAGAUGAUGGCUACAAACUGGUUAGUAGUUAAUAGGAGUUCCACAAAAGCAGAUAUAGCAUUUUGAUCAUUCAAUGGUCAAAGUCGUUUCAGCUGUACAUGACAGUGUUUGUUCUAUGCAUCGACCACAAAGGGGCACACAGAGGAACAAAUGUUGCAACUUUGUUGUUUUGUUAAUGGAUGCCCUAUUUAUUCUCAGUU
RNAcentral lists this long non-coding RNA (1178 nucleotides) under Musa acuminata (dwarf banana). RNAcentral describes it as "long non-coding RNA (MACU_LNC003778)". The record is from RNAcentral. Lineage: Eukaryota; Viridiplantae; Streptophyta; Magnoliopsida; Zingiberales; Musaceae.